GACGAACGCUGGCGGCGUGCUUAACACAUGCAAGUCGAACGGAAAGGCCUGCUUUCCCUUGUGGAUUGCGGGUACUCGAGUGGCGACCGGGUGAGUAACACGUGAGUGAUCUGCCCCCAACUUGGGUAUAAGCCUGGGAAACUGGGUCUAAUUCCCGAUAGGACUGCAGGGUGGUGCCUGUGGUGGAAAACGAUUUUCUAGUGGUUGGGGAUGAGCUCGCGGCCUAUCAGCUUGUUGGUGGGGUAAUGGCCUACCAAGGCGGCGACGGGUAGCCGGCCUGAGGGGGUGGACGGCCACAUUGGGACUGAGAUACGGCCCAGACUCCUACGGGAGGCAGCAGUGGGGAAUAUUGCACAAUGGGCGGAAGCCUGAUGCAGCGACGCCGCGUGGGGGAUGACGGCCUUCGGGUUGUAAACUCCUUUCGACCGCGAGGAAGCCACCUGGUUGGAAGGGUGGUGACGGUAGUGGUAGAAGAAGCACCGGCUAACUACGUG
Molecule: ribosomal RNA, 494 nt
Filed under: uncultured bacterium
Lineage: Bacteria
Description: partial 16S ribosomal RNA
Rfam family: Bacterial small subunit ribosomal RNA
Source: RNAcentral